GAUGAAGAACGUAGCGAAAUGCGAUACGUAAUGUGAAUUGCAAAUUCAGUGAAUCAUCGAGUCUUUGAACGCACAUUGCGCCCCCUGGUAUUCCGGGGGGCAUGCCUGUCCGAGCGUCAUUGCUGCCCUCAAGCACGGCUUGUGUGUUGGGCCCCGUCCUCCGAUUCCGGGGGACGGGCCCGAAAGGCAGCGGCGGCACCGCGUCCGGUCCUCGAGCGUAUGGGGCUUUGUCACCCGCUCUGUAGGCCCGGCCGGCGCUUGCCGAUCAACCCAAAUUUUUAUCCAGGUUGACCUCGGAUCAGGUAGGGAUACCCGCUGAACUUAAGCAUAUCAUAAGCGGAGGA
Molecule: unclassified non-coding RNA, 344 nt
Filed under: soil metagenome
Description: partial contains 5.8S ribosomal RNA, internal transcribed spacer 2, and large subunit ribosomal RNA
Rfam family: 5.8S ribosomal RNA (bases 1-119)
Source: RNAcentral